Molecule: ribosomal RNA, 869 nt
Filed under: uncultured Neocallimastigales
Lineage: Eukaryota; Fungi; Neocallimastigomycota; Neocallimastigomycetes; Neocallimastigales
Description: partial large subunit ribosomal RNA
Rfam family: Eukaryotic large subunit ribosomal RNA
Source: RNAcentral
GGCAUCUGUGCAUGCAGCAUAUCAAUAAGCGGAGGAAAAGAAGGGAAUGAACGCUACCUACGCUUAGGAUGUUGACACACGCGCGUGCUCGACUCUAUACAUGACUCUGUGCAUAUCAAUAAGCGGAGGAAAAGAAACUAACAAGGAUUCCCUUAGUAACGGCGAGUGAAGCGGGAAGAGCUCAAAUUUGAAAUCUUCAAGGUUUUACCUUGACGAAUUGUAGUUUAAAGAAGUGUUUUCUGUUGAAGUUUUGGUAAAAGUUCUUUGGAAUAGGACAUCAUAGAGGGUGAGAAUCCCGUAUUUGACCAUUAUUUUCAGCUGUGUGAUACACUUUCAAAGAGUCGGAUUGUUUGGGAAUGCAGUCCAAAAGUGGGUGGUAAAUUUCAUCUAAAGCUAAAUAUUGGCGAGAGACCGAUAGCGAACAAGUACCGUGAGGGAAAGAUGAAAAGAACUUUGAAAAGAGAGUUAAACAGUACGUGAAAUUGUCAAAAGGGAAGCGUUUGACACCAGUGUUGUUUUCUCGAAAAUCAAUUAAAAAGAGUUUGAUUUUGUUGUGUAUUGACCUUAACAGCUUGCAUUUCAAUUUUCUUGCUUUUUUUAAUGCACUUUUCGUGUAACAAGUCAACAUCAGUUUCUUUUGUUGUAAAAAGGUCAUUGGAAGGUGGCUUUCUUUUCGGAGAAAGUGUUUAUAGCCUUUGACUCCUGCAAUCGGAGAGACUGAGGUCUGCAGCGUAGAUCCUUCGGGGUUAGAUACAUUUGUGCUAAGUUAUAGCUUUUUAUAGACAACUUGUUGACUAUGAUUAGUCUUGUAGCUUACUCGCUUAUGCUAUUUUACCUACGCUUAGGAUGUUGACACACGCGCGUGCUCG